UCAUACAGUUGGGUAACAGGUUUGAAAUCUCUAAUCGCCCCGAGAUUUCAAUCAAAAGGGAAGCAGGUGCAAUUCCUGUACGGUCCCGCCGCUGUAAUAGCUUAGUAGUGCAAAAUAUGCCACUGUAAAUACGGGAAGGCUUUGUACUAUGUUCAUGCUUAAGUCAGAAGACCUGCCUGUUGCUGUAAAUCAUA
This 194-nucleotide non-coding RNA is filed under the name Geosporobacter ferrireducens. The record is from RNAcentral. Lineage: Bacteria; Bacillati; Bacillota; Clostridia; Peptostreptococcales; Thermotaleaceae.